UGGCUAUUAGCUCAGUUGUAGAGCGCGCCCCUGAUAA
Molecule: transfer RNA, 37 nt
Filed under: Nitella axillaris
Lineage: Eukaryota; Viridiplantae; Streptophyta; Charophyceae; Charales; Characeae
Description: partial transfer RNA
Source: RNAcentral